GUGUAGUUAACACCUGCACUAUUUGACGUUACCUACAGAAGAAGCACCGGCUAACUCCGUGCCAGCAGCCGCGGUAAUACGGAGGGUGCGAGCGUUAAUCGGAAUUACUGGGCGUAAAGCGCAUGCAGGCGGCCUCGUUAAGUCAGAUGUGAAAGCCCGGGGCUUAACCUCGGAAUUGCAUUUGAAACUGGCAGGCUAGAGUCUUGUAGAGGGGGGUAGGAAGUUUCAGGUGUAGCGGUGAAAUGCGUAGAGAUCUGAAGGAAUACCAGUGGCGAAGGCGGCCCCCUGGACAAAGACUGACGCUCAGAUGCGAAAGCGUGGGGAGCAAACAGGAUUAGAUACCCUGGUAG
RNAcentral lists this ribosomal RNA (350 nucleotides) under uncultured bacterium. RNAcentral describes it as "bacterial SSU rRNA". It matches the Rfam family "Bacterial small subunit ribosomal RNA", at positions 450 to 793 of the family's 1533-position model. The record is from RNAcentral.